Long non-coding RNA from Daphnia pulicaria, 829 nucleotides. RefSeq lists it as uncharacterized. Lineage: Eukaryota; Metazoa; Arthropoda; Branchiopoda; Diplostraca; Daphniidae. The record is from RefSeq and is a predicted model, not a curated record. The transcript is spliced from 4 exons.
UCGUUCUGCUGAUGCUCAAACCACGCGAUCGAGGAAUAAGUGAAGUAACAUUUACGUCAAUUUGAUUUCUACAUAAAAGCAAUAUUUCAAACCUAUUGGAUUGCUGAAGCUCGCCACCAAAGAUUAACAAUUAGGUAAUGUUAGUCAGCUCAGGAAUACCAACUUUUGUGGAGUGCUUAAUACGUCUAUUGUUGUUUCUAGUCCUCUUUUAGAGAACGGCUGCCAACUGACUAUCUGUUAUCAAUGAUGAGGUAUUGGUAAUCAGUACGGGCUGCCAACUGUUGUGAACAAGUCACUUGUUCAUCAAGUCUUUUGCUGUUGCUGGUCCACUUUGAGAGAACGGCUGCCAACUCACUAUCUGUUUUCAAUGAGGUAUUGGUAUUAAUCAGCACGGGCUACCAACUCUUGUGAAGUAUUCUCCCAUGAAGUUCAUAACUGUAUUGUCAUUGUUUUCACACAAAUGCAAUACGGACGGGAACGAAUUCAUCAGCAAUCAAAAGGAAGCAGGGAAAACACAAGCAGAACACAAGAAUCACGACGGCUUGGAUCAAAGUGAAUAGCCCCCCUCCAUCACUCUUCUAGUUGCUUCCAAGCUAGCAUUUCAGAAGAUCUCGUACGGUACUGUCACGCCUUUUGUAAUUUUGUUUGUUGGGCCGGAAUUCGUAGAGAAACGUUGGGUUAUUACUACACUUUAAAGUCCUUAAUCAUACCCCCAUGGAUAAGUGAAAAGUGAAAGACACAGCACAGCAAUCUUUAAAUUUAUAAUUUUAACUUUCAUUCAAAUUGUAAGCGUUUUUUCAUCAGCGUGUUAAUAAACAUUUCAAAAGGA